This 301-nucleotide ribosomal RNA is filed under the name uncultured bacterium. RNAcentral's name for it is "partial 16S ribosomal RNA". It matches the Rfam family "Bacterial small subunit ribosomal RNA", at positions 509 to 808 of the family's 1533-position model. The record is from RNAcentral.
CAGUAGCCGCGGUAAUACGUAGGUCCCGAGCGUUGUCCGGAUUUAUUGGGCGUAAAGCGAGCGCAGGCGGUUAGAUAAGUCUGAAGUUAAAGGCUGUGGCUUAACCAUAGUACGCUUUGGAAACUGUUUAACUUGAGUGCAGAAGGGGAGAGUGGAAUUCCAUGUGUAGCGGUGAAAUGCGUAGAUAUAUGGAGGAACACCGGUGGCGAAAGCGGCUCUCUGGUCUGUAACUGACGCUGAGGCUCGAAAGCGUGGGGAGCGAACAGGAUUAGAUACCCCGGUAGUCCCUGUCUCUUAUACA